RNAcentral lists this transfer RNA (71 nucleotides) under Felis catus (domestic cat). It matches the Rfam family "tRNA". Rfam says of the family: Transfer RNA (tRNA) molecules are approximately 80 nucleotides in length. Their secondary structure includes four short double-helical elements and three loops (D, anti-codon, and T loops). Further hydrogen bonds mediate the characteristic L-shaped molecular structure. tRNAs have two regions of fundamental functional importance: the anti-codon, which is responsible for specific mRNA codon recognition, and the 3' end, to which the tRNAs corresponding amino acid is attached (by aminoacyl-tRNA synthetases). tRNAs cope with the degeneracy of the genetic code in two manners: having more than one tRNA (with a specific anti-codon) for a particular amino acid; and 'wobble' base-pairing, i.e. permitting non-standard base-pairing at the 3rd anti-codon position. RNAcentral also lists the same sequence under 1 other name. The record is from Rfam by way of RNAcentral. Lineage: Eukaryota; Metazoa; Chordata; Mammalia; Carnivora; Felidae.
GCCUGGGUGGCUCAGUGGCUAAGCGUCUGACUUCUGCUCAGGGUUUGAGGGUUUGAGCCCCGCGUCAGGCU